RNAcentral lists this long non-coding RNA (174 nucleotides) under Chinchilla lanigera (long-tailed chinchilla). RNAcentral describes it as "lncRNA (ENSCLAG00000025802.1)". The record is from RNAcentral. Lineage: Eukaryota; Metazoa; Chordata; Mammalia; Rodentia; Chinchillidae.
GGAGAUAGUAGACCAAAAAGAAGGGCAGUAUGAAGUCUUCGCCAAAGUCUUUGAAAAGUAUCCAGAAAUAAAUGCAGUUCAACUGCAGAAGAUCCUGAACCACGUGAUCUGGCCAGGUAACUACUAAGAGUCAUCUGAGAGGACUCUGCUUCUCCUCCUCUUGGUGGGAUGUGU